UGGGGAAUUUUGCGCAAUGGGCGAAAGCCUGACGCAGCAACGCCGCGUGGAUGAUGAAGGUCUUCGGAUCGUAAAAUCCUGUCGUCAGGGACGAAGGUUACGGUGUUAACAGCGCUGUGACUUGACGGUACCUGGAGAGGAAGCCCCGGCUAACUCUGUGCCAGCAGCCGCGGUAAUACAGAGGGGGCAAGCGUUAUUCGGAAUUAUUGGGCGUAAAGGGCGCGUAGGCGGUUUCUUAAGUGAGAUGUGCAAUCCCCGAGCUUAACUUGGGAACUGCAUCUCAUACUGGGGAGCUAGAGUACUGGAGAGGGUGGUAGAAUUCCACGUGUAGCGGUGAAAUGCGUAGAGAUGUGGAGGAAUACCAGUGGCGAAGGCGGCCACCUGGACAGUAACUGACGCUGAGGCGCGAAAGCAUGGGUAGCAAACAGG
RNAcentral lists this ribosomal RNA (429 nucleotides) under uncultured bacterium. RNAcentral's name for it is "bacterial SSU rRNA". It matches the Rfam family "Bacterial small subunit ribosomal RNA", at positions 355 to 776 of the family's 1533-position model. The record is from RNAcentral.